UCAUCGAAUCUUUGAACGCACAUUGCGCCCGCCAGCAUUCUGGCGGGCAUGCCUGUUCGAGCGUCAUUUCAACCCUCAAGCUCUGCUUGGUGUUGGGGCCCUACAGCUGA
RNAcentral lists this ribosomal RNA (110 nucleotides) under Colletotrichum gloeosporioides. Its description in RNAcentral is "partial 5.8S ribosomal RNA". The stretch from base 1 to 66 matches the Rfam family "5.8S ribosomal RNA", at positions 89 to 154 of the family's 154-position model. From Rfam's summary of the family: 5.8S ribosomal RNA (5.8S rRNA) is a component of the large subunit of the eukaryotic ribosome. It is transcribed by RNA polymerase I as part of the 45S precursor that also contains 18S and 28S rRNA. The record is from RNAcentral. Lineage: Eukaryota; Fungi; Ascomycota; Sordariomycetes; Glomerellales; Glomerellaceae.